CUGAGGGAGGCGCUACAAUAAUAUAAUUGGUAUUUAUGUUCAGACACUCUUUGAGUACCUUCUGUCACGUCCGGGAUACAAGGAGACACAGUGAGAGAUCCAAAUGCGAGUACGUCUUUUAUUAAGGGCAAUCCAAAGAAUAAAUAGUCCAGGCAGGGGUCAAUACCAAACAUAUCCAACAUAAAUAAACAAGGCCACCAGACUAGAACACAACUAGAGACGGACGAGGAUUAACAAGGACUCCGUGAUACAUACUAAGACAGACCGGUAUAAAUACACAGGGACAUGACAAACGCUAAUGGGGAAUUGACUGUGUGCAAUGAUUACUAAUCAGUGACAGCUGAGUGCAAUGAGGAGACAGGGAUCAUGGGUAAUGUGGUUCAUUAAGUGACAGACACCGUGGGGAAGGAGGACAUCUAGUGGUUACCCAGGGAACACAACCCAGACACUGUGACAUAACCCCCCCCUCUACGGAGUGGCUACCAGACACUCCAAGACUACAGGGACAGGAAGUGGAGAAACAAAAAAAAACCAAAAACAACAACAACACAACCAGAAGACCAGGAGGGAGGUGGACUGGUGGAGGUAGAACAGGGGGAGGGAUGGAGGGCCAGGCCCAUGUAGGGGAACAGGGACAGGAAGCGAUGGCUCCACCGGUAGCCAAGGUGGAUCAGUCAGUUUAGGGGACCAGGGUGGACCCGAAAGUUCAGGUUGUGCAGACGGCCAGGGAAGAACCCGCCAUUUGAGCGGCCAGGACGGAACCUGCCACUCCGGGGCCCCUGUGGAGACGUGAAGGUGCUCUGGACGGCCUGUGGAGACGUGAAGUGCCUCGGCUUCGGGCACCAUCUCGGGCACCGCAUCGGACACCACCUCCGGAACAGCAUCGGGCACCGCCUCGGACUCGGGCACCGCCUCGGCCUCCGGAACAGCAUCGGCCACCUCCUCGGCAUCGGGCACCGCCUCGGCCUCCGGAACGGCAUCAGGCACCGCCUCGGCCUCGGGCACCGCCUCAGCCUCCGGA
Molecule: long non-coding RNA, 1021 nt
Organism: Cyprinus carpio carpio
Lineage: Eukaryota; Metazoa; Chordata; Actinopteri; Cypriniformes; Cyprinidae
Source: Ensembl